CCCUAGCCGGUCUUACGAGAGCCGCGUCUUCAACUCGGCCGCAGGACCCCUCACGCAAUGGUGUCCAGGAAUGCGGGCAGAGGUGAAGUAAACCCUUGACUACUGAGUACCCUUUGUUCCCUCGGCGGGCUCGCGCCCGUCGCUGGGCCCAAUCCAAACCCCUUUGCAGUAGCACUAUACCUCUGAUCGUGGGCACUUGAAUCUUAA
This 207-nucleotide unclassified non-coding RNA is filed under the name soil metagenome. Its description in RNAcentral is "partial internal transcribed spacer 1". The record is from RNAcentral.